AUGGAGAUCUCCGGACCCCCGCUCGAGAUUGGCAGCGCCCCCGCUGGGGUCGACGACACUCCCGUCAACAUGGACAGCCCCCCAAUCGCGCUUGACGGCCCGCCCAUCAAGGUCUCCGGAGCCCCAGAUAAGAGAGAGCGAGCAGAGAGACCCCCAGUUGAGGAAGAAGCAGCAGAGAUGGAAGAAGCCGCUGAUGCCGCGGAGGGAGGAAAAGUCCCCUCUCCGGGGUACGGAUCCCCUGCCGCCGGGGCAGCCUCAGCGGAUGCCGCCGCUGGGGCAGCCUCAGCGGAUACCGCUGCCAGGGCAGCCCCUGCAGCCCCAGCCGAUCCUGACUCCGGGGCAGCCCCAGAAGAUCCCGACUCCGGGACAGCACCAGCCGAUCCUGACUCCGGGGCAGCCCCAGCCGAUCCCGACUCCGGGGCAGCCCCUGCCGCCCCAGCCGAUCCCGACUCCGGGGCGGCCCCUGACGCCCCAGCCGAUCCCGACUCCGGGGCGGCCCCUGACGCCCCAGCCGAUCCCGACUCCGGGGCGGCCCCUGACGCCCCAGCCGAUCCCGACUCCGGGGCGGCCCCUGACGCCCCAGCCGAUCCCGACUCCGGGGCGGCCCCUGACGCCCCAGCCGAUGCCGACUCCCGGGCAGCCCCUGUCGCCCCAGCUGCGCCAGACGCAGGGGCUCCCACUGCCCCAGCCGCUUCUGCCACCCGGGCAGCCCAAGUCCGCCGGGCGGCCUCCGCAGCCCCUGCCUCCGGGGCCAGACGCAAGAUCCAUCUCAGACCCCCCAGCCCCGAGAUCCAGGCUGCCGAUCCGCCUACUCCGCGGCCUACUCGCGCGUCUGCCUGGCGGGGCAAGUCCGAGAGCAGCCGCGGCCGCCGCGGGUACUACGAUGAAGGGGCGGCCAGCAGCGACGAUGACUCCAGCGGAGACGAGUCCGACGAUGGGACCUCCGGAUGCUUCCGCUGGUUUCAGCAUCGGCGAAAUCGCCGCCGCCGAAAGCCCCAGCGCAACUUACUCCGCAACUUCCUCGUGCAAGCCUUCGGGGGCUGCUUCGGUCGAUCUGAGAGUCCCCAGCCCAAAGCCUCGCGCUUUUUCAAGGUCAAGAAGGUACCCCUGGCGGAGAAGCGCAGACAGAUGCGCAAAGAAGCCCUGGAGAAGCGGGCCCAGAAGCGCGCAGAGAAGAAACGCAGUAAGCUCAUCGACAAACAACUCCAGGACGAAAAGAUGGGCUACAUGUGUACGCACCGCCUGCUGCUUCUAGGGAGAAAAGUGGUGCCGAGCGACACUGAGGGUCGUUUCCGGCUGGACAGGCCAGCGCCAGCAACCGUAAGCUGGAGAGGCAGGGGCUUCAGCGUUUCCUCACUUCUCAUUCGUUCGCCAAACCCUCCCGCCUUUACAGUUGAAAAACCAGACACACAGGUGCUGGAGAAUCUGGUAAAAGCACCAUUGUGAAGCAGAUGAGGAUCCUGCAUGUUAAUGGGUUUAAUGGAGAGGGCGGCGAAGAGGACCCGCAGGCUGCAAGGAGCAACAGCGAUGGAAUGUAUUAUCCCUAGAUGAUGGCUACAGUUUCUCAUCUUCCCGGCUAUGUCCUAUCACAAUUUGCAUGCUGGAAUUGCUCGGUCUUAGGAACUUCUAAUAAGAAUACUAUUCUGUUAUCUGAGGGGGGAGGGGGGAUGGGGCCCCUACUACCUGACCUUAAACGAUGAUUGAAAAAAUGAAAAAUGGACUGAAAUCCUUAAUUGGCAGAAAUGUAGUAUGACAACUAUCCAAAAAGGCAUCUCUCUAAGAAAUGACUAAUUGACAAUCUGCUGUACCAAAAGUUGGCAUUUGAGCAAGAUAUGACAAGUCCUUAGUGAGCAACCUACUGUGUACUAGAUGUCCUGCUAAACCCUUGAACCCUACUAAUACCUUGGCCUGCACGUCUCUCUGACUCUGUUCUGCAAGUCAAUAUAAGUAUUAACAUUCGUGAUAAAUAAAAAUUCUCUGCAUGUUUCAGCAA
This 1993-nucleotide small RNA is filed under the name Pongo abelii (Sumatran orangutan). RNAcentral's name for it is "processed transcript". Lineage: Eukaryota; Metazoa; Chordata; Mammalia; Primates; Hominidae. The record is from RNAcentral.